Molecule: long non-coding RNA, 5078 nt
Organism: Planococcus citri (citrus mealybug)
Lineage: Eukaryota; Metazoa; Arthropoda; Insecta; Hemiptera; Pseudococcidae
Exons: 2
Source: RefSeq, a predicted model, not a curated record
AUUUCUUUUCCUACCUCGCACUCUGUGAAAUUUUUCAAAAAAAAAAGUAAAAGUGAAAAUUUGAAAAAAAUGAGGUUAAAAUUCUGUCGUAAUGAAAAUGAAAACGAUAAUGAAUCAUCCGGUAUUUGGGAAAUUCUCACGAUAUAUUACAUAGCCGAAGGAGUUGACUUCCGAUCGCCACCGUACAGCUGUCGUAUAAACUGAAAGUAUGCUUUUCAUUCAUAUUUACUGUAGAGUAAGCCCACCCAUCUGUACAUUGUCUAUCGCUGUCAUCGGUCAUUAUGGUUGCCUAGAUUCAUGGCCCAGUGAAGGGUAAAAUAUGUAUGCAGUUGACAAUGUGUUGUAGGUACGAUUCGUCGAUGGAAGUGUUUACUCGUUCGACGAACACCUUAAUGCAUUAAAUUAGCUCUAAUAUUAAUUCCCAUCUCAAGGAUCGCAUCGUGAACUUUUCCACUGCCAUACUGCAGCAACAUACAUGAUGGCUACGAGUACUACGAAGGAAUCUAGGUAGUUUUUGACAUGCCAACUACGAACAGAACAGAUCAUUACAUAUUCUUUUCAACAACAAACGACAUAAUUGUGUUAGUUACGCAAUGUAAUAAUGAUAGCGGUUGUAACACAUGCUAUGUACGUGCCAGUUCACAUCGUAAUCAUCCGAGUACCUGAAUCGAGUAAACGUAUUACCUACUAUUACUCUCUGCCUGCCUGUGCCUUGUUGGUCUCAGUCGUCCAGUCGUACCUUCAAGUUGAUUUUACCGAAAAACUGAUUUAAUUUUUUACAUUCGUAUCAGUUUCUCUCGGACAGGAAAUAGCGAAUAUUAUAGCAGACCGUUUUGAUAGGCUCUGAAAUGUAAAUAAUUUGCUUAUAAAUUGUUGUUAGGUUUGUGACAGCGCCCUAGCAAUUAGCAGAAAGCAAGUAGAAAGUUGGAAGUUUCUACGAGCUAACGUACAUAAUAAAUACAAUAACGACGCAUUAAUGGUUUUCUGCGAUGCACUGCAAACAAUACCGUUAUAAAGGUGUCAUAUUUGGUUGUAAAUAUACCUAUAUUAUACGAAUAAUACCCAGAUUCCCAUAAUUUUCGGCUACUGACUGACGAUUUCUUCGGUUAUUGUACGGAUCGUAAAAAUUACUUACUCGAGUACGAUAUUUUUUUUCAUCAACUCUUUACCACGAUGACGACGACGACGUUUUAAUAUGAUUUACAUUAUUUUUUUUACCUAUCAUAUUUCCAGCUCGCGAGCUCUUAUAUUAUUCUUCUAUUUAUACCCGCGAUCAGAUAACAAUAUUCAAAUAUCGUCCUCAAAAUUAUAAUUUUGUAUUUUUAUAUGUACUAUAUCGACCAACGCAUUUAUUAUUUUCAAUAACAAAAGCGUAUAUGUUUCGAUAAUGACCUACUUUAUGUAAUCUCACUCAGCUCAGGGGGUGACGUCACGACGUAAAAUAUGUAUAACUAGAUGGCAUUUUGUGAGAGUGGAAUUAUCAAUAUAAUCGAGUGAGAGUUGUAGAGACUGUAUGUACUGUCGUAGUCAAAAUUUACUAUAUACUCUUUAAUAGUACCUACCAACGCCAUUUACUAAUAUCCGAAAUCGUCUUCGUAUAGAUGAGAUUUCUUCGCAUUAAUCUCCCUGUUUCUUUUCAGUUUCACACUCGAGUUGACCCCCGAUCCUUUGCCCAUCUUGCAGCUUUGACACUCGCACCUAUAAGUACCUAUAAAUGAAAUUUUCAAAAACGAAUCGAAUCACUCUCCGACGACUCCACAACGCUCAAUUAGCCAAUAUGGCCAUGCGAUUAAUCAUAUUAUACGCGCGCUUUUGUUUGCCCCUGUCCGUGAAAAAUCUUUCUUUCUACUUUGUUGAUAUUUAUCAUUACCUUAUGGCUCUUGACGUGUUAUUUUGCGAUAACGAUGUGUCUGUCUGUUUCUUUCUCGAAUACGUGUACGUAUGUAGGUGUAAAAUAUGUAUUUUUUUUUUUUUACUUCCUGAAUUGUAUUAACGUAUGUGUAUUUCGUCGUCGUCGCUUACGUGUACCUUCUCCUACCCUCCCCCUCUCUGCUACCUCACUGGUCUUCCGCUGAAUUUCACUUGUACUUACUGAAGAAAUUAUCGUAAUUAGAUAUGGUUUUAUGGUGUAUACGCUCUGUUUACUAGUUCUAUAACUAUUUUCAAGUGCAUAGUGCAUAUUAUCUGUCUGAUUUUUUUCUGUCGUGCAUUUCCCAUGUGUGUAUUAUCGGCUGAGAGGAAAGUGAUUGGUGGAUUUUUUUCAAUUUUGAUUUGAGAGGAAUGAAAUUUAGUUGAUUUUUUUUUGAAUUGGCGAAUUUUUGAAAAUUUAAGCUUUUCUGGGGCAUCUUGUUGUGGUUUUUCAAUUUGCCCCAGAAAUUUCAAAUCGCUCUGGAAAGCCAAAAAUGAUUUUUUGAACAUAACUUUGAUCUUCUGUGCGCUUUGGGCACCCUCUAGAUUAUUUUAGGUGGUUAUAGCGAAAUUCCAGGAGUGUCAGUUCAUAAGUGGAUUUUUGACUAAUUUUUAAAUUCUAGAAAAAGUGAAAAAAAUCGAAUUUUCAAAGAUUUUUUUGGCAAGAUAUCGUCUUAUAUGUCUACACGAUUACCCUAUUCGAAAGCAAUCGCUAUUUGAUUCUUUUGAAGUCUUCAGCAAGUUUUCAAAUUUUUUUAGAAAUUUCAUAUUGCUCUGGAAGGAUCAAAGUAAGCUUUAGAAUUUAUAACUUUGAUCAAAGCUUUUCGAGCCUCUUUUUUGAUCACCUCAAAAGUUCUUUUUUGGCCAUUUUUGAGCGAUUUAAAAUUUUUGGAAAAAAUUGAAAUAUUUUUGGAUGCUCCAAACCGGCUCAAAACUAUAUAGGUGAGAUUUGAAUUUAGGGAAUUAUUCACAUUGGUUAACUUUGCUCCAAAAAUUUACUUAUAUGCAUUUAAAAAAAAUACAAAGAAAAGUCUUGGAACAGUUUUUUUGAUUUUUUAAAAUUUUUAGAAAUCCAAAAAUGAACUUCAAAUAAAAGAUGCUCUUUCGAUCGAGCUUGGUUUCAGUCGAAUUGGAGAGUGUCAGUUCUAAAGAUUCAUCCGUUUGAAGCAAAGCAUCGAAGUUCAUAAAAUGUACUUAGUACUUCUACAACAAGUUUCUGGAUCGAAUAUUCAUUUUUGAAAAACCCCCUCAAGCUUCGAAACCCCUGAGUAAUUUUUGUAAAAUUUCUCACCGUUUUAAAAUUAAUAAUCAUUUUUGAUUCCAAAUUUGAAACUAUUCCCCUGGUGCUUUAUUUAUUUAAGAUGAAGCCAGACUUUUUUCAAGGGAACCUCUUGAGGUGUCACACUCCGAUUUGAACGGGACCGCGAUUUUUGGAAAGAGCAUAGUCUAAAACCCCCAAAACCAAAUUUUCAGCUGCCCAAUAGUUAGUUCAUUUUUCGAUUUUUGACCAAUUUUUGAAAAUUCAAAAUUGACUGUUUUUGGCGAUUGAUUUAUGCUUUUUUUUAAAAAAGUACGUACUUGAUCAAUAAAAAUGGUCAAAAUAAGUCCCAAAACUAAUAUUUAUUACCCAAAUCCAAAUUUCACCAUUUCCAGCCAUUCUGGAGCCUCCAGCGCGAUUUUGAAUUUCUCCAGAAUUUUUAAUUUGCUCCAGAAGGCGUGAAUAUGAAGUUGGUCAGCUAAAAAUCGAGUUGUAUAUUACACUCGACCUGUUUAACGAGUUUAUCCGCAUUUGAGCCGAUUUUGAGAGUGACAUCUCAAAAGUGGCUUUUUGACCAGCUUUUUUCAAAAAUAAAAAAAUCCAAAGUUUCCCGUUUGUGUGGAAAUUUUUGAAAUUCACGAGAAUCGCUGUAUUUUGUCCAAAACCAACCCUCCUAAUCCAAAUUUCACAAUUUCCCGCCAUUCUGGAGCCUCCAGCGCGAUUUUUCAAUUUCUCCAGAAUUUUGAAUUUGCUCCAGAAGGCGUGAAUAUGAAGUUGGGCAGCUAAAAAUCGAGUUGUGUAUUAUACUCGGCCUGUUUAACGAGUUUAUCCACAUUUGAGCCGAUUUUGGGAGUGACACCUCAAGAGUGGUUACUGGUUUCACAAUUGAAAAAUUUUCUAUUCAUUUCUAAAAACUGCAUUUUUUGAACUGAGCACUGAAGGGAGUGAAAUGAUUCAAAGUUGGAUUCAAAUGCUUUACUUUUAUGUAGAGAUGUGCACUUUUCAGAAAAGUAAUUUUGGUGAAAUGAAAAGUGAAAAGUUCAUUGAAAAGUGUGAAAAGUUGUGAAAAGUAAAUCGUGUGAAUCUCAUUAUUAAAGCUCUCUGUAAGAGCUUCAAAUUGAUGUAUUUUUUGACUAUCUAAAACACAAAAAAAAACAAUCAUUUUUUUUUACCUACUUAAUCAAAUAGUGGUAGUUUUGAGCCUUUCUAGAGCCUCUGACAUUUUUGGGUUUUUCAGUUUUGAAAAAAUGUUGUGAAAAAUAUCAAAAAUGGGCACUAAAUUGCGAAGGUGGCGGAGUGGAGAGAGUGAAACUUGAUAUUUGACUUCAUCAAUGAGGUCAGUGAUCUCUGAUGAGUAAAUUGAUUGGUCACUCGCUUUUUUUUUUUAGUGAAAACUGAAAAGUGUAAUGAAAAGUAGGAACUUUUCUUUUCAACUUUUCAUUGAAAGAAAAGUACUUUUCACUUUUCACUUUUCACUCUGCACAUCUCUACUUUUAUGUUAUCAUAUUUUUUGUAGAAUUUUUAUGACUUUUUCUAUCAAUUUUUCGAAAGCUUUCCAAACGUAUUUUCAAGUUUCCGGAUUUUUUUUCAAUAUUUGCUUCAACUUUCAUUAUAUUUUUGGAAAUUUUGGUUCCAUUUUUUUCUUUGCCUCGUCAACUUUUUUCAGACUGAUUUGUAAGAUUUGGAUUUCUUCGAUCUGGCUCCAAAUUUGCGAGAUGUAUAAAUUUUUGAGAUGCAAUAAUUUCUCAUUUUCAUCUCCCCCUUCUCUUUUUCCCUCCCUUUCUUCUCCUCCAGCUAAAAGGAUUGCGAACUGACCUCUGAAUAUACAGCUAAAUAUUUGAGCUCCUUCUUUCAACCUUGGCAAUUCAAAAAUGUUUUGGAAUUCAUUAAAAUAUUUUAUUGCUUUGAGAAA